This is an RNA transcript of Lycium barbarum (goji berry), 2199 nucleotides long. RefSeq lists it as uncharacterized. NCBI's taxonomy places the organism in Eukaryota, Viridiplantae, Streptophyta, Magnoliopsida, Solanales, Solanaceae. The transcript is spliced from 7 exons. The record is from RefSeq and is a predicted model, not a curated record.
UGCUACCUUCACUUCCCUCAUCCCUUAUGCCUUCCAACAGAAGCAAGCUAUAUGUAUAUAUAGUAUAUAGUAACGUCAUCGGAGAAUUUGUGUCAAGUGCUACUCCGACUCCAAGGUUAAAUUUUGACGACCGUACAACUGAGGCUUCGCUUGCUGUGAACGUGUCUCGACAUAUUUUUUCCUUAACAGGAAUCCUGUGGUGGUCAGGACUCGAAAAUAUCACCCGGAAAAUCCAAAAGUCUCAUGUGGAUUUCAUCGAGAGAUGCAGCAGCCUCGUGUAAUUGUGACAAUGACAUGCAACACUACUCCUUACUUGAACCUAAAGAUGAAUACAACAUUCGAGCUGAUGGCCCUACAACUGAGGGCUUUUUUGACCAUCCAGCAGCAUCUUUCUUCUUUAACCAAGCUCCUACAGUGGUCUGGACUCAAGAAUAUCAUUCUAUUUGCCCAGUCUAGCAGUGAGGCUCAUCUCUGGACCUCGGAAAGUCCAAAACUUUCAUGUGGAUUUCUUUGAGAAAGGACAAUGGUAUGCAAUACUACUCCUUACUCGACACUAAGAAUAGGUACAGCAUUUAAGAUACCAUCCGAAAAUUCAGAGAAAAGCUUUUACAGCUCCUGGCUCUCGAAGAUGAAGUUGCAGGUUUUCAUUUUACACUGAUGAAAGUGAAUAUUAGCUUUGCCUAUAUUGAUAGACAUUGAACAGAGAGCUGAGAAUCAGGGAAUAAAAGUGACAAGGACGCCAUGACUUCCAUUGAUUCAAUGAUGGGAGACAGGUCAUACCAAGUAUAGGGGGAGUACUUGAUGAAAACUUGAUCCUCUUCCCCAGAGAUCUCAGAUGAGGGAACCCUGGGAGAGCCGCCUACUCCAACUACCGUCCAUUGCAGAUCAAUACAUUCAAUGAAGCAGCCAGUACGGCAGACAAGCUACUUUCUUAUUCUAGGACUGGAAGAUCUAUGGAGUGAAUGAUUUGAUCAAUGAAUCCUUUCAGGGCCUAUCCGAAAGAGAAUCCAGUACUUCUUGGUCGUGAAUAUCUGGUGAAUAUUAGCUUUGCCUAUAUUGAUAGACAUUGAACAGAGAGUUCAGAAUCAGGGAAUAAAAGUGACAAGGACGCCAUGACUUCCAUUGAUUCAAUGAUGGGAGACAGGUCAUACCAAGUAGAGGGGGAGUACUUGAUGAAUUUUAAGGUCUCCAGCUAUUUCUGCAAUGAGAAUGAUAACCUCUUCAACUCAUCAUAUGUUCAACUUAUCUUUACAUUUCAAUGUUCAACAUAUCCCCUCAAUCCGUUUAUAAGCUCUUGACAUCAGAAAUAUACAUGAAGGAAGAAGCAGCCAUGCCAUAUUUACCAAGUGCAUCAACUAAUGAGAGUGGUCAGGAAGCAGUUCUGAAAAGGCGCCUGCAUACUAUUAGAGAAAUUAAACAGAUGUCUCAUGGAAAAUGGAGACCUACCUUGUCAUGAAGAUUCUUAAUUGAUUCAAUCAACAAGUGUGUCUGCAAAAAACAAAACUAGUUAACUGUGCACCAAAGAAAAAGUAGGGAAUUACAGCAAUCAAAACAGUCAAAAAAUGCAGAUUUAAAAAAAAAAAAAAAAAAGAAGGCAAAAGAUAAAACUAGCAUGAAUGGAUGUAAGAUUGAUAAAAAUGAUCACACCACUACGGGAUUCUUUGUAGGGUUGAAAUGUCUUAGAAACACAACUGAUGUAGCGCUGUGGCGACAAGACUAUUUCAGCUUUAGGCACCACUUAUUUAAAGCUCUAAGCCAUAAAAAGGCAAGUUGUUCUGAUCUAACAGCUGGAGAUAGUCUGCGUAGUGUAAAGGUACAGAGGAAUGUGGAAAAUCCAACCUUUCUGAAUCUGGUUUGUGUCAGAGCAGACUCGACUUGGUUUUCCAAAUGGACAAGAUCAGUAAUGCUGAGAUCAUCGACAUCAGGCUCCUCAAUUUGCCUGUCAAAUUGAGGAUCAGAUACUAUGCUUUCCAAGGAAAAUUCAAAGAAAAGAGCAGCAAAAGGGGAUACACAAUGUACACCAGUCAAUGGGAUGGAUAUUUGGCUCUACCGAACAUAUAAGGAAAUUCGAAGUAACAUUCUAUGGAUGUCAAGACAUGGACAAGUUUUGAAACCCUAGAAGGAAAUGUCGACACAACUACUUCAAUGAAUAUCUUCAGUUGCUAAAUCGAACAACAAGAUUAAAGGUCCCACUUGAUC